Molecule: ribosomal RNA, 253 nt
Filed under: uncultured bacterium
Lineage: Bacteria
Description: partial 16S ribosomal RNA
Rfam family: Bacterial small subunit ribosomal RNA
Source: RNAcentral
UACAGAGGUCCCAAGCGUUGUUCGGAUUCAUUGGGCGUAAAGGGUGCGUAGGCGGCGGGGUAAGUCAGGUGUGAAAUCCCGGAGCUCAACUCCGGAACUGCACUUGAUACUGCCUUGCUCGAGUACUGGAGAGGAGACUGGAAUUUACGGUGUAGCAGUGAAAUGCGUAGAUAUCGUAAGGAAGACCAGUGGCGAAGGCGGGUCUCUGGACAGUUACUGACGCUGAGGCACGAAGGCCAGGGGAGCAAACGGG